RNAcentral lists this ribosomal RNA (450 nucleotides) under uncultured Glomus. RNAcentral describes it as "SSU rRNA". It matches the Rfam family "Eukaryotic small subunit ribosomal RNA", at positions 569 to 1023 of the family's 1831-position model. Lineage: Eukaryota; Fungi; Glomeromycota; Glomeromycetes; Glomerales; Glomeraceae. The record is from RNAcentral. RNAcentral also lists the same sequence under 1 other name.
AGCAGCCGCGGUAAUUCCAGCUCCAAUAGCGUAUAUUAAAGUUGUUGCAGUUAAAAAGCUCGUAGUUGAAUUUCGGGAUUAGUACGCUGGUCGUGCCUUUGGUAUGUACUGGUGUUACUGAUUCCUACCUUCUGACGAACCGUCAUGUCAUUAAUUUGGUGUGGCGGGGAAUCAGGACUGUUACUUUGAAAAAAUUAGAGUGUUUAAAGCAGGCUCGCGCUUGAAUACAUUAGCAUGGAAUAAUGAAAUAGGACGUUCGAUCCUAUUUUGUUGGUUUCUAGGAUUGACGUAAUGAUUAAUAGGGAUAGUUGGGGGCAUUAGUAUUCAAUUGUCAGAGGUGAAAUUCUUGGAUUUAUUGAAGACUAACUACUGCGAAAGCAUUUGCCAAGGAUGUUUUCAUUAAUCAAGAACGAAAGUUAGGGGAUCGAAGACGAUCAGAUACCGUCGUAG